RNAcentral lists this long non-coding RNA (428 nucleotides) under Carica papaya (papaya). RNAcentral's name for it is "long non-coding RNA (CPAP_LNC002423)". The record is from RNAcentral. Lineage: Eukaryota; Viridiplantae; Streptophyta; Magnoliopsida; Brassicales; Caricaceae.
AGGGGAAAACAAAAAAAAAGCAAUUAAAAAGGAAAAGGGGGAGCUGAAAAGGAAAAAAGAAGAGUGCCAAAGAGGAUCUUCUCUCUUACAAUUAUCUAUAAAAAGGGGACAGGGGGAGUGAGACGGGAGCUAGAGAGAGAAAAGAGAACUCGAAGCUUAUGGCCUACAGAGAAAUUAGAGAGUAGAAGCGAAGCGACAUGCUAGGGUGAGAAGCAGAUUCGAAGUAGAAGUGCGAUAACAUAGCAGAAACUUGGAAAAGCAGAAAUAAAGAGAAGCGACGAACUUGGUGGCAAACAUAACAGAUGAAGAGAGAGAGGAAAGUUAAGAAAAAUUGGUCAAGAAAUAUUUAUUUAAUUUUCAUAUUAGUAUAUUUUUAGUAGAAAUUUUUAAGAAUUUUUAUGACACUUGAAUGCUAGUAUUUGGAAUUG